Molecule: ribosomal RNA, 169 nt
Filed under: Bodianus mesothorax (splitlevel hogfish)
Lineage: Eukaryota; Metazoa; Chordata; Actinopteri; Labriformes; Labridae
Description: partial small subunit ribosomal RNA
Source: RNAcentral
CACCGCGGUUAUACGAGAGGCCCGAGUUGAUAAGCACCGGCGUAAAGAGUGGUUAUGGACAACCAACGAAACUAAAGUAAAAUGCCCCCAAAGCUGUUAUACGCACCCGUGGGCCAGAAACCCAACUACGAAAGUGGCUUUAUCCAGCCUGAACCCACGAAAGCUAUGA